GAUCCAUUAGCUCAGCUGGUUUAGAGCGGGCGACCUAUAAUCGCCAGGUCCGAUGUUCAAGCCAUCGAUGGAUCACCA
RNAcentral lists this transfer RNA (78 nucleotides) under Tenericutes bacterium ADurb.BinA155. Its description in RNAcentral is "tRNA-Ile". The record is from RNAcentral. Lineage: Bacteria; Bacillati; Mycoplasmatota.